UAAAAACAUUAAUCUAAAAUAUAUAUCUUCUCUAUCUCAGUUUCUAUGGUUAACAACUUACGAGAUUUGCUCACCAUACAAUCAGAUGAUGCAAUCACCAUCGACGAAAUAUGGAGGCAAGUUUUUCCAGGUUGUGCUAUUGUAUUCCAAACCAAAGCUUCAUGCAAUAUAUAACAACAAAAGGGUAGUGAGUCUCCAUGACAGUUUAUGGGGAACGUAUGAUCAAGGGUUUGAUGAAGCUGAUUUCUUCACAUGAUUAGAACCAGUUGUUUAAAUAGGGAUAUUUGGACUCCAAAGAUUUCUGUUGAGUACAGUUUACCUACAAAGAUUAAAAUGUUUACAUUUAUUUGUAUGCUUCCUUGGAUACAAAUAUCAAGUGAAGGUAACCAUGGAUCUGACAAUUUAUUACCUGAUGGUUCUUUAUAGUAGUUAUGAGCAAUUCUUAGUUUAUCUUGUUGAGUUUCAUGCCUAGAGUUGUAAUUUUGAUUUCCUAAAUUGAAAUUACAAUCCACGCUAAAUGUAUGGAUGGAAUUCUGAGUAAUGUUACUUUAUGCAUGUGUUUGCUUUAAUAUGAUAUGAGGAUUUAUAUUGGA
Molecule: long non-coding RNA, 593 nt
Organism: Brassica rapa (field mustard)
Lineage: Eukaryota; Viridiplantae; Streptophyta; Magnoliopsida; Brassicales; Brassicaceae
Source: RefSeq, a predicted model, not a curated record